Molecule: unclassified non-coding RNA, 1970 nt
Filed under: Hevea brasiliensis (rubber tree)
Lineage: Eukaryota; Viridiplantae; Streptophyta; Magnoliopsida; Malpighiales; Euphorbiaceae
Source: RNAcentral
AUCAGACUAAGCAUAUUUCAUUCAUGAAGAGUGAAAAUACUCGAUCCAAAUCCAUUAGAAGGCCCAUAUAUUUAGAGAGUCUAAUUAAAAUACUAAAGCCAUAUCAUCCUCUACACCCUGCCCUUACUACAAACCCUAAACAAAAUGGGUUAGCAAACCCGAAAACAUCAAACCCGGUGAGGAGGAGCGCUCGCCAUCACACUGAGAUGACCAAACCAAUAGCCGCAGAGACAGCCACUCAGGGUCCCUUAAGAGAGGAAAGCUCCACCAAAGCAUAGACCAUGCAAUAACCAUGGAGAGUUCCCAACCUAAAUCAACUUCAGGCACAGGCAAUCUGGGAAAUCAGACUUAAAGCCAACAUAAAUGGACAUGGAUCAUGGAACGCCGGCGAGCCAGAAGAGGCUAUUCAUGACCGAACUCAAGCGCACCAGAACGAUCCUUAACUUGCCAGCCAAAGCAGGGAGAUCCCCUGUAACCAUUCACUAAAACAGAGCAAUAAGAAGUGAGGAAAACUGCGUCAAUGGACUCCGAUCAGAAACGUGAAGGUCGAAAAGCCAACAUGCAGAGCUUCCUCCAUAACUAUGCAACAAAGCCCCAUCCAAUGGAGGGGUACUAACUCUCCACAAAAGGAGACUAAAGUAAACAGGGAAACUAAAACAAAACAGAAAGGAAGGAAACGCAGAUCUAAAAAGUAGAUAGGGAGAGGGUCGAUGGCCAAGCGGCCCGACCUCCCCCGAAAACUAGUACUGUGUAGAGAAACUAUAGAUUGAAAAGUUAAGAGUUAUUUUUCUAAGAUUGAAUCUAUUGAUUGGGUAUGUGCACCUAGUAUUUAAGAUUUUAUUUUUCCUCUGAAAAUCAUAAUUUACAACAUAGUAACCCUAAAAAUUCUGAAAUUAAUUCAAUCUGAAGUCAUCAUACAUUAAUAAUACAUUUUCAUAAUACAUCUCUUGAUCUUUCUCUUCUCUGUUAUACUUGUUUCUUUUCCUUCUCUUCUUUCUUCUAUUUCUUCCCCCUUUCUUCUGUUCUGUUGUAGCCAAGUCACAACAGAUAUACUCACGAAGAUUCAGAACUCCUACAUGAGAUGGUAUAGGUAAAUGUUCCAGUUCCAGGAGCUGGAGGGCACGUAGACCAUUUAAUGGGGAUGGAGAUGGGGAUGGGGACUCAGGGCUGCAUUGAUGAAUUUCUAAGCGUUCAUGGACUACGACUCUUGUGUGUGGAUUCCUUGGAAAUCUUGAAAACAAUGCACCAAAGGCAAAUAUUAUUGGCCAAACUGAGAAUUUGUUAGGGUUGUUAGAGUCAUGAGACAGAAAGGCAUAAGUUAUGGUUGCAAAAACCCAUUGAAAGAUGCCACAGACUAAGCCAACAAUGUCUGGAAAUGUCCCCAGAGGCUUGUAAUUUAGAUUGCGGGAGUAAAACCAAGGUAAAUAACCUCUCACCAUCCAUUCAACUCUUUCUUUUCUACCCUUAUCAGCAAGGUCAAUGAUGGAGAACAGCAUGGUUGCUAAUGACAUUAACAUACUAAGCAGUGCAUAUUGGGGUUUGUGCACUGAUGAUAGCUGAUCAAAAACGGCUGAUGGAAGCUCCACUGCGAAAUUUAUGAUAAGCAAACUCCUUUCCACGAUUAUAUCCCUUCGAUCCAAGGCAUCCACACCGUUUUGCAUAUCUUCUUGAGCAUCGACGUAAACAGAAUGCUCAGUUUCCAAUGGAAGAGGUAAACCAACAUUGGAUUGAAUGGAGCUAUGAUCACUAAAGAUCUGUUGAGUGAAGCCAUCAACAGUAUUGCCACUAUCUUCUUCGUCCACAUCUAGGUAGAUGGUGCUAUUUUCACUGUCCAACAGCGGUCGCACAGAAGGCCCAAUAUCGAAUUCCGCCAUAACCUCUUCCAGCUAGGAUGCUUCAGAUGAUCAUCGAUAAGAUGGAAAAUGGAAGGGAGGAUGGUGGAGGAAAUUAAAUAUUUAGUUAAUCUUUCA